RNAcentral lists this transfer RNA (69 nucleotides) under Jenkinsia lamprotaenia (dwarf round herring). RNAcentral's name for it is "tRNA-Ala". It matches the Rfam family "tRNA". From Rfam's summary of the family: Transfer RNA (tRNA) molecules are approximately 80 nucleotides in length. Their secondary structure includes four short double-helical elements and three loops (D, anti-codon, and T loops). Further hydrogen bonds mediate the characteristic L-shaped molecular structure. tRNAs have two regions of fundamental functional importance: the anti-codon, which is responsible for specific mRNA codon recognition, and the 3' end, to which the tRNAs corresponding amino acid is attached (by aminoacyl-tRNA synthetases). tRNAs cope with the degeneracy of the genetic code in two manners: having more than one tRNA (with a specific anti-codon) for a particular amino acid; and 'wobble' base-pairing, i.e. permitting non-standard base-pairing at the 3rd anti-codon position. Lineage: Eukaryota; Metazoa; Chordata; Actinopteri; Clupeiformes; Clupeidae. The record is from RNAcentral.
AAGGCCUUAGCUUAAUUAAAGUCCCUGAGUUGCAUUCAGGAGAUGUGGGAUAAAGUCCCGCAGGUCUUA